RNAcentral lists this non-coding RNA (117 nucleotides) under Gorilla gorilla gorilla (western lowland gorilla). Lineage: Eukaryota; Metazoa; Chordata; Mammalia; Primates; Hominidae. The record is from Rfam by way of RNAcentral.
GCCAGGCGUGGUGGCUCAGGCCUGUAAUCCCAGCAUUUUGGGAGGCUGAGGCGGGUGGAUCACCUGAGGUCAGGAGUUCAAGACCAGCCUGGCCAACAUGGUGAAACCCCGCCUCUA